RNAcentral lists this ribosomal RNA (253 nucleotides) under uncultured bacterium. RNAcentral's name for it is "partial 16S ribosomal RNA". It matches the Rfam family "Bacterial small subunit ribosomal RNA", at positions 524 to 776 of the family's 1533-position model. The record is from RNAcentral.
UACGUAGGGGGCUAGCGUUGUCCGGAAUCAUUGGGCGUAAAGCGCGUGUAGGCGGUCCGGUAAGUCCGCUGUGAAAGUCGGGGGCUCAACCCUCGAAUGCCGGUGGAUACUGUCGGGCUAGAGUGCGGAAGAGGCGAGUGGAAUUCCUGGUGUAGCGGUGAAAUGCGCAGAUAUCAGGAGGAACACCAAUUGCGAAGGCAGCUCGCUGGGACGUAACUGACGCUGAGACGCGAAAGCGUGGGGAGCAAACAGG